UACGGGGGGGGCAAGCGUUGUUCGGAAUUACUGGGCGUAAAGGGCUCGUAGGCGGCCAACUAAGUCGGAUGUGAAAUCCCCAGGCUCAACCUGGGAACUGCAUCCGAUACUGGAUGGCUUGAAUUCGGGAGAGGGAUGCAGAAUUCCAGGUGUAGCGGUGAAAUGCGUAGAUAUCUGGAGGAAUACCGGUGGCGAAGGCGGCAUCCUGGACCGACAUUGACGCUGAGGAGCGAAAGCCAGGGAAGCAAACGGG
This 253-nucleotide ribosomal RNA is filed under the name uncultured bacterium. RNAcentral's name for it is "partial 16S ribosomal RNA". It matches the Rfam family "Bacterial small subunit ribosomal RNA", at positions 524 to 776 of the family's 1533-position model. The record is from RNAcentral.